UUGAACUUUAAAAUACAAUUUUGCAGUGCUUUAAGAGGCUGAUCCAAAAGGGUAAAGGAAUUCUCCACAAAACCCAAAGAAGCAAUUAUAAAACUCCUCUUUGGAUCUUGUCUGCAGUCAAAUUU
RNAcentral lists this small nucleolar RNA (125 nucleotides) under Carlito syrichta (Philippine tarsier). RNAcentral describes it as "Small nucleolar RNA SNORA26 (ENSTSYG00000022490.2)". It matches the Rfam family "Small nucleolar RNA SNORA26". From Rfam's summary of the family: The snoRNA HBI-6 belong to the H/ACA family of snoRNAs, guiding the pseudouridylation of position U4522 if the 28S rRNA. The record is from Rfam by way of RNAcentral. Lineage: Eukaryota; Metazoa; Chordata; Mammalia; Primates; Tarsiidae.